AGAGCAAGAACAUGAUCCUGGACCAAGCCUUUAAGUACAUAACAGAACUGAAGCGGCAAAACGAUGAACUCCUGCUUAAUGGAGGGAGCAGUGAACAAGGUGGAGACUUGCCGAGUCCUGCUGUCUCCUGUUUGUGUUACAGUGACAUGCACUUGAGGACAUGGAAAGCUCCCCCAACCCUCUAAUCAGAAUAGGCUUGCCCUCAGUAGCAUUGCAAAUGAGAUCACUGUAGCUGAACUCCUCUUCCUCUGUGGUUAAUUUUAAUCUUGUAAAAACACAUAACUUCAA
This 288-nucleotide long non-coding RNA is filed under the name Rattus norvegicus (Norway rat). RNAcentral describes it as "long non-coding RNA NONRATT007000". The record is from RNAcentral. Lineage: Eukaryota; Metazoa; Chordata; Mammalia; Rodentia; Muridae.